Molecule: ribosomal RNA, 393 nt
Filed under: uncultured bacterium
Lineage: Bacteria
Description: partial 16S ribosomal RNA
Rfam family: Bacterial small subunit ribosomal RNA
Source: RNAcentral
AUACGUAGGGGGCAAGCGUUAUCCGGAUUUACUGGGUGUAAAGCGAGUGUAGACGGCUGCACAAGUCCGAUGUGAAAUUCCGCGGCUCAACUGCGGGACUGCAUUGGAAACUGUGCUGCUGGAGUGUCGGAGAGGUAAGUGGAAUUCCUAGUGUAGCGGUGAAAUGCGUAGAUAUUAGGAGGAACGCCAAUCGCGAAGGCAGCAUACGAGGCAUCAUCUGACGCUGAUGCACGAAAGCGUGGGGAUCAAACAGGAUUAGAUACCCUGGUAGUCCACGCUGUAAACUAUGAUAACUAUCUUUUAGCGAUACACAGUUAGAGGGUACGAGAAAUCAUUAAGUUAUCCACCUGGGGAUUACGUUCGCAAGAAUGAAACUCAAAGGAAUUGACGGGG